UACGUAGGGUGCGAGCGUUAAUCGGAAUUACUGGGCGUAAAGCGUGCGCAGGCGGAUUGUUAAGCAAGACGUGAAAUCCCCGGGCUUAACCUGGGAAUGGCGUUUUGAACUGGCAGUCUAGAGUGUGUCAGAGGGGGGUGGAAUUCCACGUGUAGCAGUGAAAUGCGUAGAUAUGUGGAGGAACACCAAUGGCGAAGGCAGCCCCCUGGGAUAACACUGACGCUCAUGUACGAAAGCGUGGGUAGCAAACAGG
RNAcentral lists this ribosomal RNA (253 nucleotides) under uncultured bacterium. RNAcentral's name for it is "partial 16S ribosomal RNA". It matches the Rfam family "Bacterial small subunit ribosomal RNA", at positions 524 to 776 of the family's 1533-position model. The record is from RNAcentral.